Molecule: non-coding RNA, 958 nt
Filed under: Leptocephalus sp. 'type II larva'
Lineage: Eukaryota; Metazoa; Chordata; Actinopteri; Anguilliformes; Nettastomatidae
Description: 12S rRNA
Rfam family: Bacterial small subunit ribosomal RNA
Source: RNAcentral
CAAAAGCCUGGUCCUGACUUUAAUAUCAAUUAUGAUCUGAAUUACACAUGCAAGUACCCGCACCCCUGUGAGAAUGCCCACUAUCCCCUUGACCGGGGAAGAGGAGCUGGCAUCAGGCACACUUAAAUUAAUAGUAGCCCAAAACGCCUUGCUUAGCCACACCCCCAAGGGAACUCAGCAGUGAUAAACAUUAAGCAAUGAGCGAAAGCUCGACUUAAUCAAGACCGAACAGAGCCGGUAAAACUCGUGCCAGCCACCGCGGUUAUACGAGAGGCUCAAAUUGAUAUUCUCCGGCGUAAAGCGUGAUUAAAGGAUAGACGUAAAACUAAAGCCAAACACCCCCCUAGCUGUCAUACGCUAACGGAGGCACGAAGCCCCACAACGAAAGUGGCAUUAAAAACUCUUGAACUCACGACCAUUAAGAAACAAACUGGGAUUAGAUACCCCACUAUGCUUAAUCGUAAACAACGAUGGCAAUAUACAAACACCAUCCGCCAGGGGACUACGAGCAUUAGCUUAAAACCCAAAGGACUUGGCGGUGCCUCAAACCCACCUAGAGGAGCCUGUUCUAUAACCGAUAACCCCCGUUUAACCUCACCACCCCUUGCCAACCCAGCCUAUAUACCGCCGUCGCCAGCUUACCUCAUGAGAGAUUAACAGUAAGCCAAAUGGGUCGUACCCAAAACGUCAGGUCGAGGUGUAGCACAUGGGGUGGGAAGAAAUGGGCUACAUUUUCUGACCCAGAAUACCACGAAAAGUGCAAUGAAAAAACACAACUGAAGGUGGAUUUAGCAGUAAAAAGAAAACAGAGAGUUCUUUUGAAGACGGCUCUGAGGCGCGUACACACCGCCCGUCACUCUCCUCGAAACAAAAUAAACAAAUUAAUAAACACCUAACAAACUAAAGAGGAGGCAAGUCGUAACAUGGUAAGUGUACCGGAAGGUGCGCUUGGAAAAAU